UCUUAUAAAAUUUUCUCUUCACUUAAUAGGUAGAAUAUUCUACGAUCACACAAGACAUUUCUGUGCUUCUCUACUUCAUCCACCUUGUUCUUAUAUGCUAAUUCUUGAUGUAAACUUAAUUGUGAUAGGGAACUCACUUGUAAUGCUUCUACUUGUUUUCACACUAGUUACAAUUCCAUCAACUUAAUAUGCUCUAAAGGAACUCCUUUCUUUUCCAAAACCAACCACAUAACCUCUCUAGUGACCCUAACAUAUGAUUUCUCUAGGUCAUUAAAAACCAUAUUGCAAGCCUCUUUAUGUUUUUCCAUUACAUUUAAUUAAGAAUAAUAUUCACAUCCAGUGCAACGUGCAAUACCUCAAUUCUCAGCCAUAGAUUUAAUCUAAUGGCUUAAGCCUUUGACACCUCACCAAAUAACAAAAAGACUAUUUUGCCCUUAAAAAAUUUCACCCGCCCGCUGUUUCAGUUUCAGCCCUAACUUUUCAUAAACUCAAAAUUUUUUUUCUCUCUCUCUCCCCUGCGCAGCUGCGUCUCCUUCAGCCCAUUCUUUGCCUCUCCUUCAAUCCAUUGUCACAGCAGCCCGAUACCAGUCCACGCAAGGCCAAGCCUCUCUCUUUGCCAUCACUGUUGCUUCGAUGAUCGAAACCCAUGGUUACCAUUUUGUUUUAGUUUUGAUUAGUUUGAUAUUGGGUUUUCUUGAUGCGUGUAAAUUCUGGUGAUUUUGCUUGGGUUGGGUUUUUUUGGGUAUGGCAGAAUGUACUGCGAUUACAUGAAAAGUGACAUGCUUGUAGGUUGCUGUAUGUAUGGGUCUCUUGGCUUUGCCAUUUAAACAUUUUGAUAUUAGAUUUAUGAAUUUUAUUUUUCUUCCCUUGAUUUUUUUUACCAAAGAUCAUCAUUUUCUUUCAUUUAUAGGCACUAAAGAUUAUGACUUUCUUAGUUUCUUUCAUUGAAACAUUACUAUGCUUCUUAGCUUAAUAAUAAUUUCUGAAAUUGGAAUUUGUUACUAUUGAGAAAUAUAUUUGUUGCUGUAUGUAUGCUUUUUAUUUUUAUUUUUUAUCAAUGACUGAGACUUUGAAUUAUUAUUGAAAUUCCCAUGUGUAAGUUUAGAAAUUCCAAUUUCACAUUGAUACUAGAACUCCAAGCAAAUCGUAUUCAAAGUUGAAUUUUAAUCUACAACUCUAUAGUCUAGGACAGAACUAGAACAUGAUGCAGAGAUGCACAACUACUGAUAUUCUCAUUUAUUACUGUUUCAAAUGUUUUCUAUUGCUCCACUGGUUUGUGUUAGUAAAUCUUAUGGAUUGAGACUUCCUCGUGAAUUUGCACUUCUCAUGAAGCAGCUUCUAUAUUUGGACUGGUCCACCCGGUUGUUGGCUCCAAACUUGAAUAUGCUUCAAGACCAGAGGAUCUCCAUUGUUUCAAACUGAAGAAGCAAAUAUGGGGACAGUUUCAAAUGAACCUUGUUUAUAUAGAUAUACUUUCUCCUAGUCUUGAGGGAGGUCAUCAGAUUGUGAAAUGCACCGGGAUGCUCCCCUAAUAGGUUGAUUCUUUUCACUUCCUGCUGACAAGAGAAGGAUCUGGGCUCUAGCUAAGGUGAAGAACAGAGUUAAAAGGUUGAUUCUUUUCACUUCCUGCACCAAGAAGACUAUCAAUUUCAAUUGGCCAAUUCCAUUUCCAAUUUUGGCUAUGGGGAAUCCAAGAAUCAACUGACGGCUUUGUCAACAAUAAUGAGGACAUCUUGUAUUUAUCACCAUAAAUCUUGUGUAGAGGGGGAAAAAAGUAUGAAAUGGACUUGUUCCAUGGAAACAAAACACAUGGUGUUGUGUUUUAGCCUUCUGUUGUUGCUACGGAAUUGAAUAGCUGAGCAUGUUGUUGCAUUCAAGUUGUAGCUGAUUUCGUGUUGACGAAUAUAUGUAAUGUAUACAAUUUUGUUUCUGUUAUAAGCUUUCUUAAUGCAUUUUGAAUUUUUAUCUAGACUAAA
This is a long non-coding RNA of Quercus robur (English oak), 1976 nucleotides long. RefSeq lists it as uncharacterized. The transcript is spliced from 2 exons. The record is from RefSeq and is a predicted model, not a curated record. Lineage: Eukaryota; Viridiplantae; Streptophyta; Magnoliopsida; Fagales; Fagaceae.